GACGAACGCUGGCGGCGUGCUUAACACAUGCAAGUCGAACGGAAAGGCCCUGCUUUUGUGGGGUGCUCGAGUGGCGAACGGGUGAGUAACACGUGAGUAACCUGCCCUUGACUUUGGGAUAACUUCAGGAAACUGGGGCUAAUACCGGAUAGGAGCUCCUGCUGCAUGGUGGGGGUUGGAAAGUUUCGGCGGUUGGGGAUGGACUCGCGGCUUAUCAGCUUGUUGGUGGGGUAGUGGCUUACCAAGGCUUUGACGGGUAGCCGGCCUGAGAGGGUGACCGGCCACAUUGGGACUGCGAUACGGCCCAGACUACUACGGGAGGCAGCAGUGGGGAAUAUUGCACAAUGGGCGGACGCCUGAUGCAGCAACGCCGCGUGCGGGAUGACGGCCUUCGGGUUGUAGACCGCUUUCGCCUGUGACGAAGCGUGAGUGACGGUAAUGGGUAAAGAAGCACCGGCUAACUACGUG
RNAcentral lists this ribosomal RNA (468 nucleotides) under uncultured bacterium. RNAcentral's name for it is "partial 16S ribosomal RNA". It matches the Rfam family "Bacterial small subunit ribosomal RNA", at positions 28 to 507 of the family's 1533-position model. The record is from RNAcentral.